CUCUUCUUAGCCAAUCAGAAUUAAGAAAUUUUUCAUGUAUGUUAAUAGUAACGCUUUAUUCAUUGAGGAUAAACAGAUAAAGUUACAACAUUUUUCCAAUCUGAUCCUUCUAAAUUCUAUAUAUAAACACAACAACAAUAACAUUAAAACAUAACUAUUUUCAGUACUGCCAAGGAGUAUGAACAAACGAAAUCAUGGGUAUAAUGUAAAGUAUUAACCAG
This is a non-coding RNA of Paramuricea clavata, 221 nucleotides long. NCBI's taxonomy places the organism in Eukaryota, Metazoa, Cnidaria, Anthozoa, Malacalcyonacea, Plexauridae. The record is from the annotation of a GenBank genome assembly.